CUGGAGACAGACCACCUCCUAUUGAUGAAUUCACUUUAACAUCAAUUAAUAAUUCCAGUGCUAUAUUAUUUGGAGGUGACACUGCUAAUAGAGACAGUAACAAUGUAUAUAUUCUUAAUUUUACUGAUGCAUCAGUGAAUUGUUCAAAGUUAUCUAAUCCUAGAGGAUCAGUACAAUGGCCUGAGGAAAGACGUUCUCAUUCUAGUGUAUUGAUUAACACUAGCUCAGGACCACACCUACUAGUGGUGGGUGGAACUUUUAAUUACGAUAUUUGGAUAUUUGAUAUUAACAAUAAAUCAUGGAAGAAACUGUUUCAUGUACCAAAAAAUGUCACUAAGAGAUGGUGUCAUUCUCUCUCAGUUUGGAGUGUGACUCCAACCACUAACUGGAUAAUUGUGUUUGGAGGAAAGAAGGACUAU
Amphimedon queenslandica is the source of this 419-nucleotide long non-coding RNA. RefSeq lists it as uncharacterized. The transcript has 3 exons. NCBI's taxonomy places the organism in Eukaryota, Metazoa, Porifera, Demospongiae, Haplosclerida, Niphatidae. The record is from RefSeq and is a predicted model, not a curated record.